CUAAGCGCACCUGGUGGAUGCCUUGGCAGCUGAAGGCGAUGAAGGACGUGGUAGCCUGCGAUAAGACUCGGUGAGCCGGCAAACAGGCUUUGACCCGGGUAUUUCCGAAUGGGGAAACCCGGCCUCCUUAUGGAGGUCAUCGUGCACUGAAUACAUAGGUGUACGAGGCGAACGCGGGGAACUGAAACAUCUAAGUACCCGCAGGAAAGGAAAUCAAUUGAGACUCCCUGAGUAGAGGCGAUCGAAAGGGGACCAGCCCUUAAGCUGCUUGGUCUUUAGGAGAACGGUCUGGAAAGUCCGGCCAUAGCGGGUGAUAGCCCCGUAUG
This 326-nucleotide ribosomal RNA is filed under the name Florenciella parvula. RNAcentral's name for it is "partial Bacterial large subunit ribosomal RNA". It matches the Rfam family "Bacterial large subunit ribosomal RNA", at positions 12 to 379 of the family's 2925-position model. Lineage: Eukaryota; Dictyochophyceae; Florenciellales. The record is from RNAcentral.